RNAcentral lists this non-coding RNA (194 nucleotides) under Rhodococcus sp. (in: high G+C Gram-positive bacteria). The record is from RNAcentral. Lineage: Bacteria; Bacillati; Actinomycetota; Actinomycetes; Mycobacteriales; Nocardiaceae.
UUACGCUCCACCUGCCGUGGUGCUCGGGAAGCCGGUGUGAGACCGGCGCGGCCCUCGCCACUGUGAGCGGGUAGGUGCUCGCCCUCGUCCGGACCGGUCCGCCGGUCCGGAGACCACUGGACGGAAGUCCGGGAAGGUCGGCGCGGCAGCGAUGAUCCGUCAGCCAGGAGACCGGCCACGGCGCGGGAAGUCCA